GAUGAACGCUGGCGGUAUGCUUAACACAUGCAAGUCGAACGGACUCUUCGGAGUUAGUGGCGGACGGGUGAGUAACGCGUGAGAGUCUGGCUUUGGGUUCGGGACAACCACUGGAAACGGUGGCUAAUACCGGAUGUGCCGAGAGGUAAAAGAGAAAUUGCCUGAAGAUGAGCUCGCGUCUGAUUAGCUAGUUGGUGAGGUAAAGGCUCACCAAGGCAGCGAUCAGUAGCUGGUCUGAGAGGAUGACCAGCCACACUGGGACUGAGACACGGCCCAGACUCCUACGGGAGGCAGCAGUGGGGAAUUUUCCGCAAUGGGCGAAAGCCUGACGGAGCAAUACCGCGUGAGGGAAGAAGGCUCUUGGGGUGUAAACCUCUUUGCUUAGGGAAGAACAAAAUGACGGUACCUAAGGAAUCGGCAUCGGCUAACUCCGUG
Molecule: ribosomal RNA, 435 nt
Filed under: uncultured bacterium
Lineage: Bacteria
Description: partial 16S ribosomal RNA
Rfam family: Bacterial small subunit ribosomal RNA
Source: RNAcentral